AGCAGUCGCCACGGUAAUACAGAGGGUGCGAGCGUUAAUCGGAUUUACUGGGCGUAAAGCGUGCGUAGGCGGCUAAUUGAGUCGGAUGUGAAAUCCCCGAGCUUAACUUGGGAAUUGCAUUCGAUACUGGUUAGCUAGAGUGUGGGAGAGGAUGGUAGAAUUCCAGGUGUAGCGGUGAAAUGCGUAGAGAUCUGGAGGAAUACCGAUGGCGAAGGCAGCCAUCUGGCCUAACACUGACGCUGAGGUACGAAAGCAUGGGGAGCAAACAGGAUUAGAUACCCCCGUAGUCCCUGUCUCUUAUCC
RNAcentral lists this ribosomal RNA (303 nucleotides) under uncultured bacterium. RNAcentral describes it as "partial 16S ribosomal RNA". It matches the Rfam family "Bacterial small subunit ribosomal RNA", at positions 507 to 809 of the family's 1533-position model. The record is from RNAcentral.